This is a long non-coding RNA of Pezoporus flaviventris, 618 nucleotides long. RefSeq lists it as uncharacterized. The record is from RefSeq and is a predicted model, not a curated record. The transcript has 3 exons. Lineage: Eukaryota; Metazoa; Chordata; Aves; Psittaciformes; Psittacidae.
UGGGGGGAGAGGGACAGGAAAAGGGGUGUUGUGUAAUCUUCUGGUAAGUAUUGACUGUGGCCUUGACCAGAUCAAGGACGAAAACACUGGCUCUGUAUUCUUACUGUGCCAACUACUAAGCCAAAAAGCAAAGCACAAAGACUUUCCAGAGAAAACCUUCACAGACCUUUGGGAAAAUUUCUUUCUUUAGAUGCUGAAGUGAAGAGGAGGAGGCCACUAUCUCUCCUGCACAGCUUUCAGUUGGCUAUCUGAAAGGAUGCAACACACACCACUCAAGCUGGAAGCACUGCAAGGAAAAGAAAAAAACCCUUUAUCUUGCAUGAAAACCUCUGUCUGGUACUUGCACUGGAAAACAGGCAUGGGCCCUCUCAAAUCGGCUCAGCACAGAUAUGGCAUUUUAGGGCCCCUCUUAAAGAAGGAGUAUGGAAAAAUCACUAUGAUGAAAACAGCACUACAAGAAAGGGCUGAGGGAAAAGGUUCAUAUCUCCUGCAGCCCUGCUUCUGACCCAUCCUUCUCCCCUCUUGGCAGGAGGAGAACAUUAAUGCUGGGGAGAGAGGAGAUUAGUGCACAGAGCUUUCAACUAGUUCAGAAAAGGCACAAAUGUAUUCAUGCUGUAA